GGACGAACGCUGGCGGCGUGCUUAACACAUGCAAGUCGAGCGGUAAGGCCCUUUCGGGGUACACGAGCGGCGAACGGGUGAGUAACACGUGGGUGGACCUGCCCCUUAGCUCUGGGAUAAGGACCUGGGAAACUGGGUCUAAUACCGGAUAUGUACUCCAUGACGCAUGUUGUGGGGUGGAAAGCCUUGUGCGGCUAGGGAUGGGCCCGCGGCCUAUCAGCUUGUUGGUGGGGUGAUGGCCUACCAAGGCGACGACGGGUAGCCGGCCUGAGAGGCGACCGGCCACACUGGGGACUGAGACACGGCCCAGACUCCUACGGGAGGCAGCAGGUGGGGAAUCUUGCGCAAUGGGCAAAGCCUGACGCAGCGACGCCGCGUGGGGAUGACGGCCUCGGUUG
Molecule: ribosomal RNA, 398 nt
Filed under: uncultured bacterium
Lineage: Bacteria
Description: bacterial SSU rRNA
Rfam family: Bacterial small subunit ribosomal RNA
Source: RNAcentral